UUGAAAUUCAAAUCCAAAUCAAAAUUUUGAUUCCAAACGGGGCCCAAGUUAAUUCAUGUACGUAUAGCAGCGCUCGAUCUCAGUCCCCCUUGGUUCUCCUCUGGUCGCUGUUAAUUACCUCUAACGUACAAUGAAUCCUGAGGAAUCCAAGAAAACCGUUGUUUCAGUCGGGCCGUUUGGAUUAUCGAAGGAGCGAGGAAAACCCUCUGAUGAUGGAAUACAGUAAUACACUCAGCAGUGAAAGGUUUGGUGAUAUUUCAUGUUCCAGAUCGAGUCAGCAAUUUUGUACGUCCAGUUUGAAUAUAACGAGGACGGAAUCUCAACUUGGUCAGACAAGCAUGGUGAUAGAAAUAUCCCUGUGAAGUACUUGGCUGGGCUAACCAACCAAGACGUCCCCUUCAGAAGAGAAAGCAUUAUGUUCAAAUAUUAUCCAGACGAAUUUUUGACUUCAGUUCAUGGGCAUUGUCAAGAAGACUGGACCGGGUCCUUUGUCACCUCGCUUACUUUUAACUUUUAAGACCAACAGAAAAGCUUACGGACCCUUUGGGUCGACUCAAUAUCGCAACCCGAGAGACUGUUUUACAAUCCAUGUGCCUGGAAGUAAGAUAGUUGGUUUUCAUGGCAGAACAAACAAGAAGUGGUUGGGUGCUGGUAUUGCUUCAAUUCAAUAGGAGCAUACCUAAAGCCUCAUGAUCAACAAAUUGAAUAUCCUCCGUCAACAACACUGAAACAAGCAGGAUAUCCUUCGCAAACCAAGCUCAAGAAAGAUGACAGACCCCAAUACCAGAAACAUUAUACAAUUCAAGAUAGUCAAGGUACAAAUGAUUUCCUAAUUUGAGCACCAGCCAACAACUUAAUGUCAAGUUGUGACCAAGUAGAAAUUACUUCAGCAGCAAGAGCUUUCAUUUUCUAUUAGCUUUCUUUCAAUCUUAAAAGGCCAAAUCAGUCAAUCCCAAGAUCAUAUGAUGAUAAAAGUGGCAAACCAUUUUCUACAGCAAGUGUAAUCAUUUUAGCGUAGGAUCUCUGUGUGUAAUC
Molecule: long non-coding RNA, 1035 nt
Organism: Rosa chinensis
Lineage: Eukaryota; Viridiplantae; Streptophyta; Magnoliopsida; Rosales; Rosaceae
Exons: 4
Source: RefSeq, a predicted model, not a curated record